Molecule: long non-coding RNA, 4239 nt
Organism: Siniperca chuatsi (mandarin fish)
Lineage: Eukaryota; Metazoa; Chordata; Actinopteri; Centrarchiformes; Sinipercidae
Exons: 10
Source: RefSeq, a predicted model, not a curated record
GUCAUCUUCCCUUUGCCCUUGAUGUCGAUCUCUCCUCUCAGCUCCAGCUGGAAGCAGUUGAACUCCAGCAGGACGUCGCGAGUCGCCGCCGACACGUGGAUCUUCAGCGCUGCACAAACACACAGACACAUGCAGUGUCUGUAGUUCUGACCUUCUCCGCUGGACUCCAUACGUGACGACGUGUUGACGGUGUCACCGAACAGACAGUAACGUGGCAUCUUCAGACCCACCACUCCUGCACACACCGGACCUGCAGCACACAACAUAACACGCAGCAGGAUUUCAGCUGUUGUUCUGGUCGGUGGCGGAUCUUGAAGGUUCGGACGGCGUCCAGCAGGGCGAGGGCCAUACGGGUGAUCUCUCUGCCGUGCAGCUUCCCGUUCCUCACCGGCAGCCCCGACACCACCAUGUAGGCGUCGCCGAUGGUCUCCACCUGGGGGCGCCACAGGACCACAACCAACAGAGAUGGCAGUGAAACCCACGAUGUCACUGAAGUAGAUGGUGACGGAGUCGAAGGCCUCCGCCUGAACCGUCUCACCGCGCUUCAACUGCUCCGCUACUGAGCUGAGGACGGGGCGAGAGAGGUGCACAGACACAGGGAGAGAGAGAGGCUCAGUGACCACAAACUGGCAGCCAAAAGAAAACAGAAUAUGUGGUCAGUGUUCGACAGAUUUCAACAAGCUAAAUGAGCUCAAAAUGAAAAAUACUCCGAGGAGAAGGAGGCAGGGCAGAUCCUGCUGCCCAAUAUGUAUCAACAUGCAACAACCUGAGGGGCGAAACUUUUCCAUGUCAACUUUAAGGUUUCUCAGUGAUUUCAACUCUACACACAACACUACAAUUGAAAUUUGACCACGAGCCUAUUCUGAAUAAAUGAGGCCUUUGACAGACUGCAGGCUGCCGGCUCUGAAGCUGUUCGACACUUCAGCGUUGGCGGUUCAAGUCCUGGAAAGUGUUUUUGGAAAUGAAGCUGGAAAGGAAGAAAGACUGCUGAGUGAUCGAAGCGUCGUCCAGCUGGCUGAUCAUCACAGCUGGCAACAGUCAUCGUCACGACUCUGACUAAAUCGCUCCAUCCGCCGCCGACCUCCGCUUUGUUUGCUGCUUCUCUGAUCGACGACUGAACGCAGCAGCAGUUUCCAAUCAGAGAUUCAUCCAUUGGAAAUCUGUACUACAGCUAAUCUCCAAACCAAACUUGCAUUCCAAAAGACAUCAGCGUAAGCCCGACUUCACUGAUCAGACCUCAGCUGAAGGCGGUUUUCCUCAAACAGAGACAAACUAAAAUUGGGAAACUCGACUUUCCAGGAUGAAGUGGUUUCUCACUCUGUGGUUUGGCCAACAAAACAAACAAAUCCUUUGAGCUCUUUUAUCUAAUUUUUCAGUGGAACAAAUGUGUUGUCAGCAUGUGGCUAAUGAAGUGCCAACAUAAAACCCCAAAAUGUAUCUUGCUAGGUUGUUGUUGAUUGCUGUUAUUUAAUUGCACUCUAGUCUACUUCACUAACAACCAUCACGAAUGUUACAUUUAUUCUGAAAGUACUUGGUAAACAGGCUUCCAGACGGGAUGAGACGGGAUUCUGUCAUGACCUCAGUAAUCAGCCAACAGUGCUGUUAAUGCUGCUCAGGUACAGCUCAUGAGUUCAUUUGCAAAUCAUCUGUAGACAUAAACGACAUGACCUUCAGAGGCCCGUUCAACGCUGUCUCUUCCUCUCUGGACAUACCUGAAGACUUAUACUAAAAGAGCAGAAUGAAAAAGUGUUCAUUUCCUGAAAUACAUGCACGUACAUGUCGCAGCUCCGGCACCCUGCUCAUAGUUUUUUUUUUUUUUUUUUACAGAUUUUCAGUCACAAGCAUCCAAAAACUGUAGUGUUUCCUGCUGCUAGAAGACAGGAAGGUCCUCUGGUGGUGAGGACAGUGUUCAAAGAUCCAAAAUUUAGGACCCGAUCCCAAGCAGACACGUGAAAAUCAUAACCUGAUUUGUUUAAUUUAGUUAUGGGGAAAAAAAGAGACCUGAUCUGGUCUGAAUGGAUAAUUAGACCCUGUAGAAGCCUUCAGAUACAUUGUUUUGAUGACGUCAAGUGUCCACGUACUCUGUACAUACUGUAUCCUACCUUUAGGGCUGAGUGGGUCUCCCUCCAGGUAAAAGGCUCCCCGGCGCAGCGCCACCUCCUGGAGGACGAUGCCGAAGCUGUAGACGUCUCCUUUCUGAGUUCCCUGAGGAGGAGGAGAAUCCAUCCUGAGCAGCUCUGGAGCCAUCCACAACCGCUCUGCAGGAGGAGGAGGGGCAUGGAAAUAACUGCUGCAGUAAAAUGGAUAAAUGGCAACUCACGGGCAUAGUAGGCAUGAGCGUCUUUUCCUGAGUCGCUGUCAGAUCGAAAGCUGGACAAACCGUAGUCUGUGAUCUUCAGGACGAAGCGGUUGUCGACGACACAGUUUGACGACUUGAGUUUACCGUGAGAGACGAUGACGCUGUUGUGGAGGAACACCAUGCCCUGCAGAGAGAGAGACGUGUAGCACUAUAGAAGAACACCUACAGCUGAUAAUCAGCACUUUGUCCAGGUUGCUCAUCUGGACGUCGUCCCAGGAAAUCCUCCAGAGCUGAGCCACCAGCUCCUUCUCCAGCUUCAUCCUCCUGCCGAGAAAAAGCGACGCAGGUUACAGACAGACUCAGUUUCCUGCUAAAUACUUUCCCUAAGUUGGAGGAGGUCGGGGUAGAUGGUUAAUUAUACACAGUUCAGGACUUUGACACCAGAGACCAAAGCUCAUGCCCUGUUGACAUCAUGUCCUUCAGUUUAGGCUGCUUGGGCAAGGUUAGGGAAGGUGGUCUUGGUUGAAUAUAAGUCAACACUAACUUGAAGCACAAGACAGGACAUGUUGACUCAUCACAUAUUUAACCAAAACCACCAUCUUUCAUUAACCAUAACCACGUUUGUUGAAAAUACAAACAUUGGAAAACAUCUUUCCAUAUUUCCCCACAUUUGGCUGACAAAAUAAAAAUAAAUCCAUGAAUUGUGAAGACGAAACAGAACAGCUGUCUGAUGAGACGGCUACAAAAAAUAUAUAUAACAACAUUUGAAGCAAACUGCUUCACUUGGUCACUGAGACACAGAAGAUGUAAUAGAUGUAAUAGAAAGCAUCUUUCUGCACUCAUAUGACAGCACUGAGAGACCCGUGGGUGGAGAAACCCUCCAUCAGUGCUUCAUGAAAGCAGUGCAGCAUCUAAGAUUUAGUUUGAUCAGAGCGGACAGCUGCAGCUCUCACCUGUAGAUGAAGAUGGUGACUGUGAGGGUCAUCGUGACGAUGAAGAAGACCACGAUGGAAACCAUCUGGUGGAUGGUGAUCGUCUCUGUCAGAGAGAGAGGAACUGUUUAAUAACCUCUGCAUCCACGUUCUGUACGAACAAAUAACUGAAUACACAGACAAUACAACAUAAUGUACCGCCAACCAUGAAUGAAUAUUAAUGUUAACUGCACAGUUCUGGGGAAAUGGAGGGAAGGUCAAGGUUCGCUAAAAAGAAACUACACUGGACAAAUCUGAACACAGCCUGUGCACGACUGAAGUGAACUUGAUCUUGGUUUGUCCACUGACUCGCGAGGCAGAUGGGGUUGUCGUGCUUGAAGCCACAGACAGGAACGUCAGGAGGACAAACUCCACCCGGCCAGUGCAGUGUUGUUCCAGGGAUGGCCGUCAGCUGCUCCUCUGAACUGUUGUACACCAAAACUAUCUGGAAUAAAACAACAACAUAUUGCAAGAUGAUGUCUGCAGGUAAGAUAUUAUCAAACAGCAUGAUCAGGACAGUCGUGUGCUUUCUUGGAUCUCUGAGUUUGAGUUUCUGCAGGUGGCUCUCUUCUUUGCCUUUAUAAUCAUUACAGCCACGGUGGCUGUCGUUCCUCAAGCUCAGCCCCCAGUUCACUGUGGGACCAUCUGGAGGUAUCAAAGCCAGUUGCACCUGUUAAUGUGCAGUGGUGGAAGAAGUAUUCAGAACUUUUACUUAAGUAAAAGUAGCAGUACCUCGGGUAAAAUGACCCCACUGCUAAAGUCUCGCAUUUAAAAUCUGACUUAAGUAGAAAUACAGAAGUAUUUAAAGUAACGAAAAUUAGGCAGCAGAAGCCCCGUCAGUGUGAUGUUGUAUUAUUGGAUUUUUAUCAUGCAUUGCUGUGUGAGCGGCAUGUUAUAUUGUAGCUGGUCAAAAUUAAGAUAAUUUUAACUUUUUAUACAGUUGUGUAGUUUAAUCUAUUAAAAAAAUAA